UGGGGAAUAUUGGACAAUGGGCGCAAGCCUGAUCCAGCCAUGCCGCGUGAGUGAUGAAGGCCCUAGGGUUGUAAAGCUCUUUCACCGGUGAAGAUAAUGACGGUAACCGGAGAAGAAGCCCCGGCUAACUUCGUGCCAGCAGCGGCGGUAAUACGAAGGGGGCUAGCGUUGUUCGGAUUUACUGGGCGUAAAGCGCACGUAGGCGGACUUUUAAGUCAGGGGUGAAAUCCCGGGGCUCAACCCCGGAACUGCCUUUGAUACUGGAAGUCUUGAGUAUGGUAGAGGUGAGUGGAAUUCCGAGUGUAGAGGUGAAAUUCGUAGAUAUUCGGAGGAACACCAGUGGCGAAGGCGGCUCACUGGACCAUUACUGACGCUGAGGUGCGAAAGCGUGGGGAGCAAACAGG
This 404-nucleotide ribosomal RNA is filed under the name Actinomycetes bacterium. RNAcentral's name for it is "Actinobacteria bacterium partial 16S ribosomal RNA". It matches the Rfam family "Bacterial small subunit ribosomal RNA", at positions 355 to 776 of the family's 1533-position model. The record is from RNAcentral. RNAcentral also lists the same sequence under 1 other name. Lineage: Bacteria; Bacillati; Actinomycetota; Actinomycetes.